This 254-nucleotide ribosomal RNA is filed under the name uncultured bacterium. RNAcentral describes it as "partial 16S ribosomal RNA". It matches the Rfam family "Bacterial small subunit ribosomal RNA", at positions 524 to 776 of the family's 1533-position model. The record is from RNAcentral.
UACGGGGGGAGCAAGCGUUGUUCGGAUUUACUGGGCGUAAAGGGCGCGUAGGCGGUCAGGACAAGUAAGUUGUGAAAUCUCCGGGCUUAACUCGGAAAGGUCAACUGAUACUGUGCGACUAGAGUGCAGAAGGGGCAACUGGAAUUCUCGGUGUAGCGGUGAAAUGCGUAGAUAUCGAGAGGAACACCUGCGGCGAAGGCGGGUUGCUGGGCUGACACUGACGCUGAUGCGCGAAAGCCAGGGGAGCGAACGGG